This 455-nucleotide ribosomal RNA is filed under the name Pediococcus sp. Pov8. RNAcentral describes it as "bacterial SSU rRNA". It matches the Rfam family "Bacterial small subunit ribosomal RNA", at positions 954 to 1387 of the family's 1533-position model. The record is from RNAcentral. Lineage: Bacteria; Bacillati; Bacillota; Bacilli; Lactobacillales; Lactobacillaceae.
UUUUAACGCGAAGGAACCUUACCAGGUCUUGACAUCNUUCUGACAGUCUAAGAGAUUAGAGGUUCCCUUUCGGGGACAGCAAUGCACAGGGUGGGUGCAUGGGUUGUUCGUCAGCUCGCUGUCGCUGAGAUGUUGGGUUAAGAUCCCGCAACGAGCGCAACCCUUAUUACUAGUUGCCAGCAUUAAGUUGGGCACUCUAGUGAGACUGCCGGUGACAAACCGGAGGAAGGUGGGGACGACGUCAAAUCAUCAUGCCCCUUAUGACCUGGGCUACACACGUGCUACAAUGGAUGGUACAACGAGUCGCGAGACCGCGAGGUUAAGCUAAUCUCUUAAAACCAUUCUCAGUUCGGACUGUAGGCUGCAACUCGCCUACACGAAGUCGGAAUCGCUAGUAAUCGCGGAUCAGCAUGCCGCNCGGUGAAUACGUUCCCGGGUCUUGUACACACGCAAAA